AAGGGUUUAAAGGGUCUAUCCAGUUUCAGGAGCCUCUCAUGGCUUAGUGAAGUGGAAGAAAGAGGAAGUAUCCAUGUCAGCAAGGAGACAAAAGGGGAUCUUGUAAAAAGUGUAAGCAUGCCAAGGAGGAGGUACGGUAUCUGCGGUUUGGACAAAGAGCAAACACAAGACAGAAUAAAUGCUAUGCCUGGAUCUCUCUAAUUUAAUCUUGGGGUGCCAUUGGGAGCCUGAAGGCUGGAAAAGGAGGCAUGUGAUGGGAAGGUUGUUGGCUCCAAAAGUGCUGUUUGGGUUCCUUUGGGCAACUUUUGGGAGCUUAAGCCCCAGUUAAGCCCCAGCUACUCAAGUGGAUCUUCUGAGUGGCCAACAGUCUGAGACUGCUGUUGUAUUAGAAAUCUCCUGGGUGAAAAUGUAGAGUACGAGCUGCAGAGUGUUGCAGAAUGAAAUGUGUGUCAUGACCAUUGAAAAAGCAUGAAUAAACUAAGUUUAAA
Molecule: long non-coding RNA, 488 nt
Organism: Scomber japonicus (chub mackerel)
Lineage: Eukaryota; Metazoa; Chordata; Actinopteri; Scombriformes; Scombridae
Exons: 3
Source: RefSeq, a predicted model, not a curated record